AUCCUUUUCUGUUUCAUAAGCAUGAUGACUGGCUUGAAACACAGUUGUGGGACAAGAGCCUCCCUUCAAACCUUGUUAUGGUGUUGGUACAUUACCCGUAAGAAC
Molecule: small nucleolar RNA, 105 nt
Organism: Ochotona princeps (American pika)
Lineage: Eukaryota; Metazoa; Chordata; Mammalia; Lagomorpha; Ochotonidae
Source: Ensembl